RNAcentral lists this long non-coding RNA (512 nucleotides) under Homo sapiens (human). RNAcentral's name for it is "HSALNT0379889". Lineage: Eukaryota; Metazoa; Chordata; Mammalia; Primates; Hominidae. The record is from RNAcentral.
UUUUGGUAGAAACAGGUUCUCACUAUGUUGCCCAAGCUGGUCCUGAACCCCUAGCCUCAAGUAAUCCUCCUGCCUCAACCUACCAAAGCAUUGGUAUUACAAGUUUGACCCACCGUGAUCAGUCCAGGGUAGGAAAUGGAAUCUUAACAACUAUCACAUGAACUUUGAGGGGAUCCUUCUCUGGAUGAGCCUUCAGUUGAGACCUCAGCCUUGGACAUCAUCUACAUCUGGAUUCCUGACCCAGAGCAACUGCUUAGUUUUCUAAAGAUAAUUCUGCCGUCAAGCCCUGUUGGAAUUCUGUGAUAAUUUCUUUUCACUCCACGUUCUCCAUCAGGAAUUUUAUGGAACCUUGUAUUCUGUUGAGUAACAGAAUUAUAUCAGCAAUCCCAAAGUCACCAAAUGGGCAUCAUCAUGACAGCAGAUCACCCAAUUGGCGUGCAUUUCCAGGAAUGCAUAUAUGGAAUCAGAAUAAAUCUUUACUCCCAUUUCCUGGGACAGUUCUAAAGACUCAG